CAGUAGCCGCGGUAAUACGAAGGGGGCUAGCGUUGCUCGGAAUUACUGGGCGUAAAGGGCGCGUAGGCGGCGCUCCAAGUUAGGCGUGAAAUUCCCGGGCUCAACCUGGGGACUGCGCUUAAGACUGGAGUGCUUGAGGAUGGAAGAGGGUUGUGGAAUUCCCAGUGUAGAGGUGAAAUUCGUAGAUAUUGGGAAGAACACCGGUGGCGAAGGCGGCAACCUGGUCCAUUACUGACGCUGAGGCGCGAUAGCGUGGGGAGCAAACAGGAUUAGAGACCCCGGUAGUCCCUGUCUCUUAUAC
This 301-nucleotide ribosomal RNA is filed under the name uncultured bacterium. RNAcentral's name for it is "partial 16S ribosomal RNA". It matches the Rfam family "Bacterial small subunit ribosomal RNA", at positions 509 to 807 of the family's 1533-position model. The record is from RNAcentral.